UGGGGAAUUUUGGACAAUGGGGGAAACCCGUGAUCCAGCCAUCCCGCGUGUGCGAUGAAGGCCUUCGGGUUGUAAAGCACUUUUGGCAGGAAAGAAACGUCGCGGGUUAAUACCCCGCGAAACUGACGGUACCUGCAGAAUAAGCACCGGCUAACUACGUGCCAGCAGCCGCGGUAAUACGUAGGGUGCAAGCGUUAAUCGGAAUUACUGGGCGUAAAGCGUGCGCAGGCGGUUCGGAAAGAAAGAUGUGAAAUCCCAGAGCUUAACUUUGGAACUGCAUUUUUAACUACCGGGCUAGAGUGUGUCAGAGGGAGGUGGAAUUCCGCGUGUAGCAGUGAAAUGCGUAGAUAUGCGGAGGAACACCGAUGGCGAAGGCAGCCUCCUGGGAUAACACUGACGCUCAUGCACGAAAGCGUGGGGAGCAAACAGGAUUAGAUACCCUGGUAGUCACGCCCUAAACGAUGUCAACUAGCUGUUGGGGGCCUUCGGGCCUUGGUAGGCGCAGCUAACGCGUGAAGUUGACCGCCUGGGAGUACGGUC
This 540-nucleotide ribosomal RNA is filed under the name uncultured bacterium. RNAcentral's name for it is "partial 16S ribosomal RNA". It matches the Rfam family "Bacterial small subunit ribosomal RNA", at positions 355 to 887 of the family's 1533-position model. The record is from RNAcentral.